AGUGAACGCUGGCGGUAGGCCUAACACAUGCAAGUCGAACGGCAGCACAGUAAGAGCUUGCUCUUACGGGUGGCGAGUGGCGGACGGGUGAGGAAUACAUCGGAAUCUACUUUUUCGUGUGGGAUAACGUAGGGAAACUUACGCUAAUAUCGCAUACGACCUACGGUGGAAAGCAGGGGAUCUUCUGACCUUGCGCGAUUGAAUUAGCCGAUGUCGGAUUAGCUAGUUGGCGGGGUAAAGGCCCACCAAGGCGACGAUCCGUGGCUGGUCUGAGAGGAGGAUCGGCGACAUUGGAACGGAGCCGCGGUCAAGGCGCCUACGGGAGGGAGCAGUCGGGAAUGGGAGACAACGGGGGGAAGUCUGAUCCAGUCGUACGACGUGGGUGAAGAAGGCGUUGGGGGUGUAAAGACCGUCUGUGGGGAGAGAAAAGCAGCCGGUUAAGACGACGCGGUUCUGACGGUACCGAGAGAAGAAGCACCGGCUAACUACGUG
RNAcentral lists this ribosomal RNA (492 nucleotides) under uncultured bacterium. RNAcentral's name for it is "partial 16S ribosomal RNA". It matches the Rfam family "Bacterial small subunit ribosomal RNA", at positions 30 to 507 of the family's 1533-position model. The record is from RNAcentral.